UUAAAGGGCAAUUACAACAUUUUUAUUAGUGUUGGCCGGCCAUGUGAUGGGUUUUAAGUAAAUAGUCAAAGGGUUAGGUGGAUGAUGUCAUGAUUUAGUGAUAAAAUAAUGCCUAAAAGCCUAGCUAUCAUUUCUUUCUUCUCCAUCUCUCUUCUUCACCGAAAAUAUCAGAAAAAAUGGAGUUUUGAAGGCUAAAAAUUUUCA
This 204-nucleotide long non-coding RNA is filed under the name Gossypium barbadense (sea-island cotton). Its description in RNAcentral is "long non-coding RNA (GBAR_LNC001680)". The record is from RNAcentral. Lineage: Eukaryota; Viridiplantae; Streptophyta; Magnoliopsida; Malvales; Malvaceae.